AGCGAACGCUGGCGGCAGGCCUAACACAUUCAAGUCGAACGGACCCUUCGGGGUUAGUGGCGGACGGGUGAGUAACACGUGGGAACGUGCCUUUAGGUUCGGAAUAGCUCCUGGAAACGGGUGGUAAUGCCGAAAGUGCCCUUCGGGGGAUAGAUUUAUCGCCUUUAGAGCGGCCCGCGUCUGAUUAGCUAGUUGGUGAGGUAACGGCUCACCAAGGCGACGAUCAGUAGCUGGUCUGAGAGGAUGACCAGCCACACUGGGACUGAGACCCGGCCCAGACCCCUACGGGAGGCAGCAGUGGGGAAUCUUGCGCAAUGGGCGAAAGCCUGACGCAGCCAUGCCGCGUGAAUGAUGAAGGUCUUAGGAUUGUAAAAUUCUUUCACCGGGGACGAUAAUGACGGUACCCGGAGAAGAAGCCCCGGCUAACUUCGUGCCAGCAGCCGCCGUAA
This 449-nucleotide ribosomal RNA is filed under the name uncultured bacterium. Its description in RNAcentral is "partial 16S ribosomal RNA". It matches the Rfam family "Bacterial small subunit ribosomal RNA", at positions 29 to 523 of the family's 1533-position model. The record is from RNAcentral.